This is a long non-coding RNA of Homo sapiens (human), 639 nucleotides long. RefSeq lists it as uncharacterized. Lineage: Eukaryota; Metazoa; Chordata; Mammalia; Primates; Hominidae. The record is from RefSeq and is a predicted model, not a curated record. The transcript has 3 exons.
ACAGGGUCUUAACUCUGUCACCCAGGCUGGAGUGCAGUGGUGUGACCACAGCCACUGCAGGCUCAACCUCUGGGACUCAGGUGAUCCUCCCAUCUCAGCCUCCCAAGUAGCUGGGACUACAGGUUGCUUCUUCCAGAUCCCUUUUGAUCUACUUUCAGCUAUGGAUUCAUGAGAAUCAAGACUAAGCAGCCUGAAUUGAAGGAGUAACAGUAUCACCUAACAAUGAUUUUGCUGCCAUAGUAGCUGUUUGUAUACUGGCCAUAUGCCUAGGUAAAAUGAGGCCAGAUCACUCUCAAGAGUUUUCUAUCAGAGUUGGUGGUGAACUACUGCUCACGGAUAAUGACGAGAAACCCCAGCUGAGGAGGCAAAUAUACUCAAGGAAAGUAAUAGUUUCCAAAUGCCUGGCAGUGCCAGGAAGGGGCCAUGUCCAUGGACCACUAUGUAAGGAUAUCUCAGUCUCUAGUCCAGCGUGGUUUAUGGUGCCAAAUAAGUGCCAGGUGAACUCACUACAUCUGACAAAAUCUCAAGGAACCAAGUUUACCAGAUAAUAUUUAUGAUUAUGUGAAAAAGACUGAGGAAAUCACUCAAGUGAUCCAUCAUACAGCACCUCCAGUUCCAAAGAAUACUGACUUACUUCAG